Molecule: long non-coding RNA, 708 nt
Filed under: Ananas comosus (pineapple)
Lineage: Eukaryota; Viridiplantae; Streptophyta; Magnoliopsida; Poales; Bromeliaceae
Description: long non-coding RNA (ACOM_LNC015788)
Source: RNAcentral
UGAAAUCUAUUUUUCAAAAUUUAAAAUUUAAAAGUUAAAAUUUAAAAAUUCAAAAAUGAAUCUGAAAAUUAAAAAUUAAAAUUAAAAUUAAAUUUAAAUAUUGAAUUUAAAAGUAAAAUAAAAAUUUGAAGUUUUAGUCCAAAAUUAGAAUAAGAUUUCAAGAACCAGUUUUUUUCUGCUUCUGAUUCUGGUGCCUUCAAAAUCAGUUUUUUGAUUCUAAAAAGCAGAAUCAGAUUUUAAAAGUAAGGUUGUCAAACGUUCUAUUGAGCGGAAAUUUAUUUUUCAACCCAAAAGCGCUUUUUAAAAGUUAGGCCAAACACCCCCAAAUUCAAGUCCAAGAGGAGUACUUAUCAUGCGCUAUACCAAUGCGAGACCAUAGUUAGUUAAUUCGGAUUCGGCAAAAAUUCGGUACGGAUAUAAUACGCAUAAAGUUUAUUUUCCAACUUUUAAAUUCGUUGAAAAAUUCGGCUUAAAAAACGGAUUCAGUAUAAAAUAUAAAAUAUAAGAUAAUUUAUAUUUAAAAAUAAAAAUUAUAAGUUUUUUAUUUAUAUUUUUUUUAAUAAUUCGCGAAUAAUUCGGCUGGCCCAAAAAUUUGCGAAUAAUUUUUUUUUUUUGAAAAAAAUUUGUAAACGGACUGUUUAAUUUGAAUUUUUAAUAAUUUGUGAAUAAUUUGGAAGUAAUUUGCGAAUUAACUAACUAGGUGUGAGA